CUCCACCUUCAGGGCAAAGUGAGAAUCUGUUAAUAUUACGGAAUGAACGGCAGAUUCAAUUCUUGACCGGCGGUAUAGUCCGCGAACCUCGUAUAAGAGGCCGAUUGGGUUUGACUCCCAAACCGACAGUAUAGUCUGGAUGAAAGAAGUGUAGGC
This 156-nucleotide non-coding RNA is filed under the name [Bacteroides] pectinophilus. RNAcentral's name for it is "Bacteroides pectinophilus FMN sequence". It matches the Rfam family "FMN riboswitch aptamer (RFN element)". Rfam says of the family: The RFN element is a highly conserved domain that is found frequently in the 5'-untranslated regions of prokaryotic mRNAs that encode for flavin mononucleotide (FMN) biosynthesis and transport proteins. This element is a metabolite-dependent riboswitch that directly binds FMN in the absence of proteins. In Bacillus subtilis, the riboswitch most likely controls gene expression by causing premature transcription termination within the 5' untranslated region of the ribDEAHT operon and precluding access to the ribosome-binding site of ypaA mRNA. RNAcentral also lists the same sequence under 1 other name. Lineage: Bacteria; Bacillati; Bacillota; Clostridia; Eubacteriales. The record is from RNAcentral.